GAUGAACGCUGGCGGCGUGCCUAAUACAUGCAAGUCGAGCGGACAGACGAGGUGCUUGCACCUCUGAAGUCAGCGGCGGACGGGUGAGUAACGCGUGGGUAACCUACCUGUAAGACUGGGAUAACUUCGGGAAACCGGAGCUAAUACCGGAUAAUAUUCUCCACCUCAUGGUGGAAUAGUGAGAGACGGUUUUGCUGUCACCUACAGAUGGACCCGCGGCGCAUUAGCUAGUUGGUGAGGUAACGGCUCACCAAGGCGACGAUGCGUAGCCGACCUGAGAGGGUGAUCGGCCACACUGGGACUGAGACACGGCCCAGACUCCUACGGGAGGCAGCAGUAGGGAAUCUUCCGCAAUGGACGAAAGUCUGACGGAGCAACGCCGCGUGAGUGAAGAAGGUCUUCGGAUCGUAAAACUCUUGUGUAAGGGAAGAACAAGUACGUUAGUAACUGAACGUAC
RNAcentral lists this ribosomal RNA (457 nucleotides) under uncultured bacterium. Its description in RNAcentral is "bacterial SSU rRNA". It matches the Rfam family "Bacterial small subunit ribosomal RNA", at positions 28 to 478 of the family's 1533-position model. The record is from RNAcentral.